CGGAGGCUACUGCUAUUGGAGUUCGAUUAAGCCAUGCGAGUCUAAGGGGUACUUGUACCCCUGGCAUAAUGCUCAGUAACACGUGGAUAAUCUACCCUUAGGUGGGGCAUAAACCCGGGAAACUGGGGCUAAUUCCCCAUAGAUACAGAACGCUGGAAUGCCUCUGUAUUCAAAGCUCCGGCGCCUAAGGAUGAGUCUGCGACCUAUCAGGUAGUAGUCAGGGUCACGACCUGACUAGCCAACGACGGGUACGGGGUGUGAGAGCACUUGCCCGGAGAUGGUUUCUGAGACACGAAACCAGGCCCUACGGGGCGCAGCAGGCGCGAAAACUUCGCAAUGCGGGAAACCGUGACGAGGGAACUCCAAGUGUCUAUGCAAUGCAUAGACUGUUUUUCAGCCUAAAUAGCUGUUAGAGUAAGGGGUGGGUAAGACCGGUGCCAGCCGCCGCGGUAACACCGGCACCCCAAGUGGUAGCCACUAUUAUUGGGCCUAAAGCGUUCGUAGCCGGUUUAGUAAAUUCUUGGGUAAAUCGUACAGCUUAACUGUGCGGAUUCCGGGGACACUACUAGACUUGAGACCGGGAGAGAUUAGAGGUACUUGCAGGGGAGCGGUGAAAUGUUGUAAUCCUGCAGGGACCACCAGUGGCGAAGGCGUCUAAUCAUAACGGCUCUGACGGUGAGGAACGAAACCCUGGGGCGCAAACGGGAUUAGAUGCCCCGGUAGUCCAGGGCGUAAACGCUGCUGACUUGGUGUUGGAGAUCCUACGAGGGUGUCCAGUGCUGGCGCGAAGGUAUUAAGUCAGCCGCCUGGGGAGUACGGUCGCAAGACUGAAACUUAAAGGAAUUGGCGGGG
Molecule: ribosomal RNA, 852 nt
Filed under: uncultured archaeon
Lineage: Archaea
Description: bacterial SSU rRNA
Rfam family: Archaeal small subunit ribosomal RNA
Source: RNAcentral